UACGGAGGAUGCAAGCGUUAUCCGGAUUUAUUGGGUAUAAAGGGUGCGCAGGUUGUUUGAUAAGUCAGUGGUGAAAGUCUGUCGCUUAACGGUGGGAUUGCCAUUGAUACUGUUAGACUUGAAUAUGGAUGAGGUAGGCGGAAUGUGUAGUGUAGCGGUGAAAUGCAUAGAUAUUACACAGAACACCGAUUGCGAAGGCAGCUUACUAAUCCAUCAUUGACGCUGAGGCACGAAAGCGUGGGGAUCAAA
RNAcentral lists this ribosomal RNA (249 nucleotides) under uncultured prokaryote. RNAcentral's name for it is "partial 16S ribosomal RNA". It matches the Rfam family "Bacterial small subunit ribosomal RNA", at positions 524 to 772 of the family's 1533-position model. The record is from RNAcentral.